Molecule: long non-coding RNA, 278 nt
Organism: Saccostrea cuccullata (small rock oyster)
Lineage: Eukaryota; Metazoa; Mollusca; Bivalvia; Ostreida; Ostreidae
Exons: 3
Source: RefSeq, a predicted model, not a curated record
UGAUCCCAGUCAAUGGUCACUGUACUUAAAAUACACAGAGACUAGAGGACUUGUUCUUCCUGGAACCUCUCUAUGCACCAGGCUGUCUCAUGAAGUUGAAUGCUCAAACAAUAUGAAGAGGAAGAAAAUUUAGUUGACAUUCAAAACAGGAAAUAUGAUCAGGUUAUAGAACAAUCUCUGAAAACUGGUCAAGUAAAGAGUUAGAGCGGUUGUAGAUGCAUGCACAGAAAAUGAAGAAAAAACUCUACUGAAACCACGGCUUUUAAAUCAACAUAAUA